CCAAUAGCGUAUAUUAAAGUUGUUGCAGUUAAAAAGCUCGUAGUUGAAUUUCGGGAUUAGUACGUUGGUCGUGCCUUCGGUACGUACUGGUGUUACUGGUUCCUACCUUCUGACGAACCAUCAUGUCAUUAAUUUGGUGUGGCGGGGAAUCAGGACUGUUACUUUGAAAAAAUUAGAGUGUUUAAAGCAGGCUCGCGCUUGAAUACAUUAGCAUGGAAUAAUGAAAUAGGACGUUGACCCUAUUUUGUUGGUUUCUAGGAUUGACGUAAUGAUUAAUAGGGAUAGUUGGGGGCAUUAGUAUUCAAUUGUCAGAGGUGAAAUUCUUGGAUUUAUUGAAGACUAACUACUGCGAAAGCAUUUGCCAAGGAUGUUUUCAUUAAUCAAGAACGAAAGUUAGGGGAUCGAAGACGAUCAGAUACCGUCGUAGUCUUAACCAUAAACUAUGCCGACUAGGGAUCGGAUGAUGUUAUUUUUAAUGACUCAUUCGGCGCCUUACG
Molecule: ribosomal RNA, 497 nt
Filed under: uncultured Glomeromycotina
Lineage: Eukaryota; Fungi; Glomeromycota
Description: partial small subunit ribosomal RNA
Rfam family: Eukaryotic small subunit ribosomal RNA
Source: RNAcentral